UACAGAGGGGGCAAGCGUUGUUCGGAAUUACUGGGCGUAAAGGGCGCGUAGGCGGCCAACUAAGUCGGACGUGAAAUCCCCGGGCCCAACCCGGGAACUGCGUCCGAUACUGGAUGGCUUGAAUCCGGGAGAGGGAUGCGGAAUUCCAGGUGUAGCGGUGAAAUGCGCAGAUAUCAGGAGGAACACCGAUGGCGAAGGCAGGUCUCUGGGCCACUACUGACGCUGAGAAGCGAAAGCGUGGGGAGCGAACAGG
This 253-nucleotide ribosomal RNA is filed under the name uncultured bacterium. Its description in RNAcentral is "partial 16S ribosomal RNA". It matches the Rfam family "Bacterial small subunit ribosomal RNA", at positions 524 to 776 of the family's 1533-position model. The record is from RNAcentral.